RNAcentral lists this ribosomal RNA (253 nucleotides) under uncultured bacterium. RNAcentral's name for it is "partial 16S ribosomal RNA". It matches the Rfam family "Bacterial small subunit ribosomal RNA", at positions 524 to 776 of the family's 1533-position model. The record is from RNAcentral.
UACGUAGGGGGCUAGCGUUGCUCGGAAUCACUGGGCGUAAAGGGUGCGUAGGCGGGUCUUUAAGUCAGGGGUGAAAUCCUGGAGCUCAACUCCAGAACUGCCUUUGAUACUGAGGAUCUUGAGUACGGGAGAGGUGAGUGGAACUGCGAGUGUAGAGGUGAAAUUCGUAGAUAUUCGCAAGAACACCAGUGGCGAAGGCGGCUCACUGGCCCGUAACUGACGCUGAGGCACGAAAGCGUGGGGAGCAAACAGG